Molecule: long non-coding RNA, 1013 nt
Filed under: Ursus maritimus (polar bear)
Lineage: Eukaryota; Metazoa; Chordata; Mammalia; Carnivora; Ursidae
Description: lncRNA (ENSUMAG00000002719.1)
Source: RNAcentral
AUGGAGAAAAACCCACCACUUCAUAUGAGAGUUUUAAACACCAAAAAACAGCUGGUCGGCCAGCGCAGCUCUUGGCCUCUUUUACCUUCUUUGCAGAUCUCCCACCCCCCUCCCAGUUGGGAAAGAGCUAAUAAUCUUCCUGUCCAAGCCCCUCGAUUUACUGGUGGGAAAACCAGGACCCAGACGGGGAAAUGGCUUGGCCAAGGCCGCACAGCUCUGGCUGGACAGCUGGCGUUGGAAUAUGUGGUUGCGGACCUAACUGGUGGCCCCGUCCUUCCCACCCCUACACGCUCCAGGUGUCCAGCCGACAGUCCGACAGCACAGCGUGGGAACCAAUGCCGGCAGAGUCGCAGGAGCAGGGGGGUUGCUCCCAAGGCAAGAAGUCAAGACUCAUCCCCACCCAAGGAUAUAAAGCAGAAAGGACGCCUGGAUCAGAAGGCCAAGGCCGCGCCAAAAUGCCGAAGAGAGACAGUGACGGAUCCAGUGACUCACUCCUCCCCAGGGAGCAGUCUGUGGAGGAAACGGCCUGAGGAGUGCAUGGGAGGAACUCCGUAUGGACAGACCUCAGGAAGGUCCUGGUCUCCAGGAAGGAAAAACAGAAGGACUGAGAUCACCAUAGCUGGCAAGAGUGCUAUCUCCAGGGUGUGCGGGUGCCUGGUGAGUGGCCGAGGGAAGGGCGGUGAGGGCCUCGGCUGCACAGGGAGCCAGCUUUCCUGGCCAUGCCGGGACACCUCCUCUAGCUUGGUGGCGGGGCAAGGACAGACCCAAAGGGUCCUGUGUGCUUCUGCAGACACAAGAUCGUGGGAUCGCCUGGUCAGGGGUGAUUUGCUGAUCCCAUCUGUGUCACCACCUGUGGACAGAAUCAUUUAGAUUUCACUUGCUAACAUUUCUAAGGACUUUCAUUUUGGAUUUCUUCCCAAAAGAAAAGCCUGAGUCCUGAUUCUUCUAUGUCUCAAACCGCAUCUUUGCAAAGAAUAACACAUGAAGUAAAAAUAAAACAAGGAAACCAUGCA